This 253-nucleotide ribosomal RNA is filed under the name uncultured bacterium. RNAcentral's name for it is "partial 16S ribosomal RNA". It matches the Rfam family "Bacterial small subunit ribosomal RNA", at positions 524 to 776 of the family's 1533-position model. The record is from RNAcentral.
GACGUAGGGCGCGAGCGUUGUCCGGAUUUAUUGGGCGUAAAGAGCUCGUAGGCGGCUUGUUGCGUCAGCUGUGAAAACCCGCAGCUCAACUGUGGGCUUGCAGCUGAUACGGGCAGACUAGAGUGCGGUAGGGGAGACUGGAAUUCCUGGUGUAGCGGUGAAAUGCGCAGAUAUCAGGAGGAACACCGGUGGCGAAGGCGGGUCUCUGGGCCGUAACUGACGCUGAGGAGCGAAAGCGUGGGGAGCGAACAGG